This 637-nucleotide ribosomal RNA is filed under the name uncultured Ceratobasidiaceae. RNAcentral describes it as "eukaryotic LSU rRNA". The stretch from base 177 to 330 matches the Rfam family "5.8S ribosomal RNA". Lineage: Eukaryota; Fungi; Basidiomycota; Agaricomycetes; Cantharellales; Ceratobasidiaceae. The record is from RNAcentral.
GUAGCUGUCCCCUUUUAACCGGGGGGCAUGUGCACGCCUUCUCUUUUCAUCCAUACACACACCUGUGAACUUGUGAGACGGAUUUCGACCCUCUCCGGGGGGGAAAGGUCCGUCUGCUAUACAUAAACUCCUGAAUAAUAAAUUAGAAUGUAAUCGAUGUAACGCAUCUUUAAACUAAGUUUCAACAACGGAUCUCUUGGCUCUCGCAUCGAUGAAGAACGCAGCGAAAUGCGAUAAGUAAUGUGAAUUGCAGAAUUCAGUGAAUCAUCGAAUCUUUGAACGCACCUUGCGCUCCUUGGUAUUCCUCGGAGCAUGCCUGUUUGAGUAUCAUGAAAUCUUCAAAAUAAAUCUUUUGUUCACUCGAUUGAUUUUAUUUUGGACUUGGAGGCUUGCAGAUUCACGUCUGCUCCUCUUAAAUUUAUUAGCUGGAUCUCGGUGAGCUCGGUUCCACUCGGCGUGAUAAGUAUCACUCGCUGAGGACACUGUAAAAGGUGGCCGGGAUUGCGGAUGAACCGCUUCUAAUAGUCCAUUGACUUGGACAAUAAAUACUUUAUGAUCUGAUCUCAAAUCAGGUAGGACUACCCGCUGAACUUAAGCAUAUCAAUAAGCGGAGGAAAAGAAACUAACAAGGAUUCCC